AGGCUUUGAUCCUGGCUCAGGAUGAACGCUGGCGGUAUGCUUAACACAUGCAAGUCGAACGGUCUCUUCGGAGAUAGUGGCGGACGGGUGAGUAACGCGUGAGAAUCUGGCUCUAGGUCUGGGACAACAGAUGGAAACGUCUGCUAAUACCGGAUGUGCCGAGAGGUGAAAGGCUAGCUGCCUGGAGAUGAGCUCGCGUCAGAUUAGCUAGUAGGUGGGGUAAAGGCCUACCUAGGCGACGAUCUGUAGCUGGUCUGAGAGGACGAUCAGCCACACUGGGACUGAGACACGGCCCAGACUCCUACGGGAGGCAGCAGUGGGGAAUUUUCCGCAAUGGGCGAAAGCCUGACGGAGCAAUACCGUCGUGUAGGGUAGGUAAGGUCUCUUGGGUUGGUAAACCUCUUUUGGUGCAGAGUGGAUAAUGAGUAAGGUUACGUUGGAUGAAUGACCAUCGCUU
Molecule: ribosomal RNA, 457 nt
Filed under: uncultured cyanobacterium
Lineage: Bacteria; Bacillati; Cyanobacteriota
Description: bacterial SSU rRNA
Rfam family: Bacterial small subunit ribosomal RNA
Source: RNAcentral